AUUGAACGCUGGCGGCAGGCCUAACACAUGCCAGUCGAGCGGAUGAAGGGAGCUUGCUCCUUGAUUCAGCGGCGGACGGGUGAGUAAUGCCUAGGAAUCUGCCUGGUAGUGGGGGAUAACGUCCGGAAACGGGCGCUAAUACCGCAUACGUCCUGAGGGAGAAAGUGGGGGAUCUUCGGACCUCACGCUAUCAGAUGAGCCUAGGUCGGAUUAGCUAGUUGGUGGGGUAAAGGCCUACCAAGGCGACGAUCCGUAACUGGUCUGAGAGGAUGAUCAGUCACACUGGAACUGAGACACGGUCCAGACUCCUACGGGAGGCAGCAGUGGGGAAUAUUGGACAAUGGGCGAAAGCCUGAUCCAGCCAUGCCGCGUGUGUGAAGAAGGUCUUCGGAUUGUAAAGCACUUUAAGUUGGGAGGAAGGGCAGUAAGUUAAUACCUUGCUGUUUUGACGUUACCAACAGAAUAAGCACCGGCUAACUUCGUG
This 484-nucleotide ribosomal RNA is filed under the name uncultured bacterium. RNAcentral describes it as "partial 16S ribosomal RNA". It matches the Rfam family "Bacterial small subunit ribosomal RNA", at positions 30 to 507 of the family's 1533-position model. The record is from RNAcentral.